GUGUGACUGUGUGUGUUUAUGAGGUGUGACUGUGUGUGUUUGAGGUGUGACUGUGUGUGUUUGAGUUGUGACUGUGUGUGUUUGAGGAGUGACUGUGUGUGUUUAUGAGGAGUGACUGUGUGUGUUUAUGAGGAGUGACUGUGUGUGUUUAUGCAGUGUGACUGUGUGUGUUUAUGAUGUGUGACUGUGUGUUUAUGAGGAGUGACUGUGUGUGUUUAUGCGGUGUGACUGUGUGUGUUUAUGAGGAGUGACUGUGUGUUUAUGAGGAGUGACUGUGUGUGUUUAUGAGGAGUGACUGUGUGUGCUUAUGAGGAGUGACUGUGUGUGUUUAUGAGGAGUGACUGUGUGUGUUUAUGAGGUUUGACUGUGUGUUUAUGAGGAGUGACUGUGUGUGUUUAUGAGGAGUGACUGUGUCUGUUUAUGAGGUGUGACUGUGUGUGUUUAUGAGGUGUGACUGUGUGUGUUUAUGAGGAGUGACUGUGUGUGUUUAUGAGGAGUGACUGUGUGUGUUUAUGAGGAGUGACUGUGUGUUUAUGAGGAGUGACUGUGUGUGUUUAUGAGGAGUGACUGUGUGUUUAUGAGGUGUGACUGUGUGUGUUUAUGAGGUGUGACUGUGUGUGUUUAUGAGGUGUGACUGUGUGUGUUUAUGAGGUGUGACUGUGUGUGUUUAUGAGGAGUGACUGUGUGUGUUUGAGGUGUGACUGUGUGUGCUUAUGAGGAGUGACUGUGUGUGUUUAUGAGGAGUGACUGUGUGUGUUUAUGAGGAGUGACUGUGUGUGUUUAUGAGGUGUCACUGUGUGUGUUUAUGAGGUGUGACUGUGUGUCUUUAUGAGGUGUGACUGUGUGUGUUUAUGAGGUGUGACUGUGUGUGUUUAUGAGGACUGACUGUGUGUGUUUAUGAGGACUGACUGUGUGUGUUUAUGAGGUGU
This 929-nucleotide long non-coding RNA is filed under the name Salmo salar (Atlantic salmon). RNAcentral's name for it is "lncRNA (ENSSSAG00000086304.1)". Lineage: Eukaryota; Metazoa; Chordata; Actinopteri; Salmoniformes; Salmonidae. The record is from RNAcentral.